CAGUAGCCGCGGGAAUACGGAGGAUGCAAGCGUUGUCCGGAAUCAUUGGGCGUAAAGGGUCCUGAGGUGGUUUGCUUAGUCCAGUGUGAAAGUUCAGGGCUUACCCUUGAAAAUGCGGUGGAAACUAGCAGGCUAGAGUACGGUGGGGGCAGAGGGAAUUCCCGAUGUAGCGGUGAAAUGCAUAGAUAUCGGGAAGAACACCGAUGGCGAAGGCACUCUUCUGGGCCGAAACUGACACUGAAAGACGAAAGCCAGGGGAGCGAAUGGGAUUAGAUACCCCCGUAGUCCCUGUCUCUUAUAC
This 301-nucleotide ribosomal RNA is filed under the name uncultured bacterium. Its description in RNAcentral is "partial 16S ribosomal RNA". It matches the Rfam family "Bacterial small subunit ribosomal RNA", at positions 509 to 807 of the family's 1533-position model. The record is from RNAcentral.